Raphidocelis subcapitata is the source of this 72-nucleotide non-coding RNA. The record is from the annotation of a GenBank genome assembly. Lineage: Eukaryota; Viridiplantae; Chlorophyta; Chlorophyceae; Sphaeropleales; Selenastraceae.
GCAGUUGUAGUAUAAUGGUUAGUACCCCACGUUGUGGCCGUGGUGAUCCGGGUUCGAUUCCCGGCAACUGCA